UGCCACCUGCAUUAAAUAAGUGGUACGUCCUGCCCAGUGAAUCAUUCAACGGCCGCGGUAUCCUAACCGUGCAAAGGUAGCAUAAUCACUUGCCCAUUAAUUGUGGGCUAGAAUGAACGAAUAAACGAGAAUAUAGCUGUCUCCUUUAAGCCUCUAAAAAUUAAUAUCCGAGUGAAGAAGCUCAGAUCCCCUCGCAGGACAAGAAGACCCUAUAGAGCUUUACUUACAUAAUAUAUCACAAAUAUUUUACAGUUCGGUUGGGGCGACCAAGGACCAUAAAUCAUCCUAAAUUCAAAAAAUUGACAAAUUAUACAAAAGAUCCUACCUCUAGAUCAUUGGAUCCAGCUACCUUAGGGAUAACAGGCUAAUUCUCCUAGAGAGCCCUUAUCGACAGGAGAGGUUGGCACCUCGAUGUUGGCUUAGGACCUCUUCACGGCGCAGCAGCCGUGAUAAGAUGGUUUGUUCAACCAUUAAACUCCU
This 480-nucleotide ribosomal RNA is filed under the name Haber vetus. RNAcentral describes it as "partial large subunit ribosomal RNA". It matches the Rfam family "Bacterial large subunit ribosomal RNA", at positions 1829 to 2597 of the family's 2925-position model. The record is from RNAcentral. Lineage: Eukaryota; Metazoa; Annelida; Clitellata; Tubificida; Naididae.